Molecule: ribosomal RNA, 560 nt
Filed under: Ischnocnema cf. vinhai CC-2012
Lineage: Eukaryota; Metazoa; Chordata; Amphibia; Anura; Brachycephalidae
Description: partial 16S ribosomal RNA
Rfam family: Bacterial large subunit ribosomal RNA
Source: RNAcentral
CCCCCCCCCCAUAAGAGGUCCAGCCUGCCCAGUGACCUAGUUCAACGGCCGCGGUAUCCUAACCGUGCGAAGGUAGCGUAAUCACUUGUUUUCUAAAUAAAGACUAGUAUGAAAGGCAUCACGAGAACUGAACUGUCUCCCUUUUCCAAUCAGUGAACCUAAUCUCCCCGUGAAAAAGCGGGGAUUGUCUAAUAAGACGAGAAGACCCUAUGGAGCUUUAAACACUAUAACACCUGCUAAACUAAACAUUCAAAUGUUUCACGUGCACCAUGAUUAUCUGUUUUCAGUUGGGGUGACUGCGGAGAAAAACCCACCCUCCGCGAUGAAAGGCCUUACACCUAAACAAUAAGUCACAACUUUAAGUAUCAACAAACUGACACCUUUGACCCAAUAUAUUGAUUAACGAACCAAGUUACCCUAGGGAUAACAGCGCAAUCCACUUCGAGAGCCCCUAUCGACAAGUGGGCUUACGACCUCGAUGUUGGAUCAGGGUAUCCCAGUGGUGCAGCCGCUACUAAAGGUUCGUUUGUUCAACGAUUAAAACCCCACGUGAUCUGAGU